ACAACGCUGUCACUGUCGAAGAAAAAGAAGAUGAAGAAGCGAUUCACGACGAAUGUUCAGAGACUCAGAUACCUUAUCAUGUGCUCAAUGUGGCAAACCUGCCCAUCUUCAUUGCCAAGAUCACAUUGCCCUGAAUUCAAAUUUGAUGAAUAAAGAGCUAAAAGUGAGCUACAUAGCCCUGAAUUACAACAGCCCAACAGUCAGACCAAACACAAUGCCUUGAAUUAAAGCUCACUUUUAGCUCUUUAUUCAUCAAAUUUGAAUUUGAUGGAUGAAAGAAUUGGUGAAGGUCUGGUGACUGAUUAAUUAGAGGGCAGAUGGAAGAAAUGCAAACAUUCAGCAGAGACCAUGGGAACACAACAUCACUUGGAGGAUAGUGGGAUAUGAGGCUUUGACUACACUAUAUUCUCAUACUUCCGACAGCUUGAAGUUUCCAGCGUGUUAGAGUGCUUAUCAUGUUGGAGGCUUGCAGCAAUCAAAUUUAUGCACAUAAACACAGUUAAUCAUGUAGUUCAAAAACAAAAAUGUACGCUAAUUUGUAGUGUAGUAAGAAAUGACUAGUAAUCAAACAGAAGUACUUUUUCUUGGCCAAAUUACUAUGUUGGGUGGAGAACUAUGAACAGAUGAGACCAAAGUAACAUAAACCUACAACGCUUGAGCUCUUGAAGGCCUUGUUCCAGAUUGUUCAACACUACCUUGCACUCUUCUUGGCCUGCAAUUAAUGGUGGUAUGGAUUUGAUCAUUGAUCAACUUCUAUGACUUUGUGGUCUUAAAAUUAUCACUUGCAAAUGUAAAUCAGCUAUAUUUUACGAACAUUGAGAGACAUGUUCCACUUUAUCAGCAUUUAAAGUUUCACCAUUAGUGUUUAGUCCUCGCAUCUUGAGUCAGUAAUGUGCUUCUCCGAGACAAAAAGACUCUGAAGAUUAUUGUGUUACUAGUUGUAAGGUUGUGAUUUAAUCAGAUUCAUAAAUCCUAACAAAAAUAUGAAUGUUAUUUUCCAUCGCACUGACCUCAUUGCCAGGUGAAUAGCAGAUGCUGCAGCUAGAAGUCGAAACUAUCCCACUCUGAAGCUUAAACUGUGAGUAUCUUGAUCAGUGAAGUGCCAAACAGGUAAUUUGA
This is a non-coding RNA of Camellia sinensis, 1119 nucleotides long. Lineage: Eukaryota; Viridiplantae; Streptophyta; Magnoliopsida; Ericales; Theaceae. The record is from RefSeq and is a predicted model, not a curated record.